GAAUUGAGGGAGUACCUGACUAAGAAGCCCCGGCUAACUACGUGCCAGCAGCCGCGGUAAUACGUAGGGGGCAAGCGUUAUCCGGAUUUACUGGGUGUAAAGGGAGCGUAGACGGCACGGCAAGCCAGAUGUGAAAGCCCGGGGCUCAACCCCGGGACUGCAUUUGGAACUGCUGAGCUAGAGUGUCGGAGAGGCAAGUGGAAUUCCUAGUGUAGCGGUGAAAUGCGUAGAUAUUAGGAGGAACACCAGUGGCGAAGGCGGCUUGCUGGACGAUGACUGACGUUGAGGCUCGAAAGCGUGGGGAGCAAACAGGAUUAGAUACCCUGGUUUUCCACGCCGUAAACGAUGACUGCUAGGUGUCGGGUGGCAAAGCCAUUCGGUGCCGCAGCUAACGCAAUAAGCAGUCCACCUGGGGAGUACGUUCGCAAGAAUGAAACUCAAAGGAAUUGACGGA
RNAcentral lists this ribosomal RNA (454 nucleotides) under uncultured bacterium. RNAcentral's name for it is "bacterial SSU rRNA". It matches the Rfam family "Bacterial small subunit ribosomal RNA", at positions 464 to 917 of the family's 1533-position model. The record is from RNAcentral.